CAGCCAUGCCGCGUGCAGGAAGAAUGCCCUAUGGGUUGUAAACUGCUUUUAUUUGGGAAUAAACCUCUUUACGUGUAGAGAGCUGAAGGUACCAAAUGAAUAAGCACCGGCUAACUCCGUGCCAGCAGCCGCGGUAAUACGGAGGGUGCAAGCGUUAUCCGGAAUCAUUGGGUUUAAAGGGUCCGCAGGCGGAUUUAUAAGUCAGUGGUGAAAUCCUAUCGCUUAACGAUAGAACUGCCAUUGAUACUGUAAGUCUUGAAUUCGGUCGGAGUGGGCGGAAUGUGUAGUGUAGCGGUGAAAUGCAUAGAUAUUACACAGAACACCGAUAGCGAAGGCAGCUCACUAGGCCUGAAUUGACGCUCAGGGACGAAAGCGUGGGGAUCAAACAGGAUUAGAUACCCUGGUAGUCCACGCUGUAAACGAUGAUUACUCGUUUUCGGCGAUAUACAGUCGGAGACUAAGCGAAAGUGAUAAGUAAUCCACCUGGGGAGUACGAUCGCAAGGUUG
Molecule: ribosomal RNA, 507 nt
Filed under: uncultured Bacteroidota bacterium
Lineage: Bacteria; Pseudomonadati; Bacteroidota
Description: bacterial SSU rRNA
Rfam family: Bacterial small subunit ribosomal RNA
Source: RNAcentral